Molecule: ribosomal RNA, 253 nt
Filed under: uncultured bacterium
Lineage: Bacteria
Description: partial 16S ribosomal RNA
Rfam family: Bacterial small subunit ribosomal RNA
Source: RNAcentral
UACGUAGGUGGCAAGCGUUGUCCGGAAUUAUUGGGCGUAAAGCGCGCGCAGGUGGUUUCUUAAGUCUGAUGUGAAAGCCCACGGCUCAACCGUGGAGGGUCAUUGGAAACUGGGGAACUUGAGUGCAGGAGAGAAGAGUGGAAUUCCACGUGUAGCGGUGAAAUGCGUAGAGAUAUGGAGGAACACCAGUGGCGAAGGCGACUCUUUGGCCUGUAACUGACACUGAGGCGCGAAAGCGUGGGGAGCAAACAGG